AACAAAUCAAAAGCCUCACAUCUGGGUACUGGACUCAGUCCAACAGGCAGGUGGAGAGGACCAACAAGGAGCUGGGGAGGUUUCUAGGAGUCAGUGCCAGGACCGGCAGGUGGAGAGGACCAACAAGGAGCUGGGGAGGUUCCUAGGAGUCAGUGCCAGGACCGGCAGGUGGAGAGGACCAACAAGGAGCUGGGGAGGUUUCUAGGAGUCAGUGCCAGGACCGGCAGGUGGAGAGGACCAACAAGGAGCUGGGGAGGUUCCUAGGAGUCAGUGCCAGGACCGGCAGGUGGAGAGGACCAACAAGGAGCUGGGGAGGUUUCUAGGAGUCAGUGCCAGGACCGGCAGGUGGAGAGGACCAACAAGGAGCUGGGGAGGUUCCUAGGAGUCAGUGCCAGGACCGGCAGGUGGAGAGGACCAACAAGGAGCUGGGGAGGUUUCUAGGAGUCAGUGCCAGGACCGGCAGGUGGAGAGGACCAACAAGGAGCUGGGGAGGUUUCUAGGAGUCAGUGCCAGGACCGGCAGGUGGAGAGGACCAACAAGGAGCUGGGGAGGUUUCUAGGAGUCAGUGCCAGGACCGGCAGGUGGAGAGGACCAACAAGGAGCUGGGGAGGUUCCUAGGAGUCAGUGCCAGGACCGGCAGGGGGAGUGGGCCCGGUUCCUUCCCUGGGCAGAGUAUGCCCCAGUACUCACUUUGUCACUCCUCCGCCAGGCUGACUCCAGUACGUCCUGGCAUAUCAGCUGGCCCUGGUCCCAUGGACCCCGAGCCAUACCGAAACCCCUCC
This is a long non-coding RNA of Oncorhynchus keta (chum salmon), 782 nucleotides long. RefSeq lists it as uncharacterized. The record is from RefSeq and is a predicted model, not a curated record. NCBI's taxonomy places the organism in Eukaryota, Metazoa, Chordata, Actinopteri, Salmoniformes, Salmonidae. The transcript has 5 exons.